CGCGUAGACGGUUUUGUAAGUCAGAUGUGAAAUCCCUGGGCUCAACCUGGGAACUGCAUUUGAGACUGCAUGGCUAGAGUAUCGAAGAGGGAAGUGGAAUUUCCGGUGUAGCGGUGAAAUGCGUAGAUAUCGGAAGGAACACCAGUGGCGAAAGCGACUUCCUGGUCGAAUACUGACGUUCAUGUGCGAAAGCGUGGGGAGCAAACA
Molecule: ribosomal RNA, 207 nt
Filed under: uncultured bacterium
Lineage: Bacteria
Description: partial 16S ribosomal RNA
Rfam family: Bacterial small subunit ribosomal RNA
Source: RNAcentral